GUAGGUGGGCAAGCGUUGUCCGGAAUUAUUGGGCGUAAAGCGCGCGCAGGGCGGUCCUUUAAGUCUGGAUGUGAAAAGCCCACGGCUCAACCGUGGAGGGUCAUUGGAAACUGGGGGACUUGAGUACAGAAGAGGAAAGCGGAAUUCCAAGUGUAGCGGUGAAAUGCGUAGAGAUUUGGAGGAACACCAGUGGCGAAGGCGGCUUUCUGGUCUGUAACUGACGCUGAGGCGCGAAAGCGUGGGGAGCAAACAGGAUUAGAUACCCUGGUAGUCCACGCCGUAAACGAUGAGUGCUAAGUGUUAGGGGGUUUCCGCCCCUUAGUGCUGCAGCUAACGCAUUAAGCACUCCGCCUGGGGAGUACGGCCGCAAAGGCUG
Molecule: ribosomal RNA, 376 nt
Filed under: uncultured organism
Description: partial 16S ribosomal RNA
Rfam family: Bacterial small subunit ribosomal RNA
Source: RNAcentral